AGAGUUUGAUCAUGGCUCAGGAUGAACGCUGGCGGCGUGCUUAACACAUGCAAGUCGAACGAAGCGAUUUAACGGAAGUUUUCGGAUGGAAGUUAAAUUGACUAAGUGGCGGACGGGUGAGUAACGCGUGGGUAACCUGCCUCAUACAGGGGGAUAACAGUUAGAAAUGACUGCUAAUACCGCAUAAGCGCACAGUAUCGCAUGACACAGUGUGAAAAACUCCGGUGGUAUGAGAUGGACCCGCGUCUGAUUAGCUAGUUGGUGGGGUAACGGCCUACCAAGGCGACGAUCAGUAGCCGACCUGAGAGGGUGACCGGCCACAUUGGGACUGAGACACGGCCCAAACUCCUACGGGAGGCAGCAGUGGGGAAUAUUGCACAAUGGGCGAAAGCCUGAUGCAGCGACGCCGCGUGAGCGAAGAAGUAUUUCGGUAUGUAAAGCUCUAUCAGCAGGGAAGAAAAAUGACGGUACCUGACUAAGAAGCACCGGCUAAAUACGUGCCAGCAGCCGCGGUAAUACGUAUGGUGCAAGCGUUAUCCGGAUUUACUGGGUGUAAAGAGAGCGCAGGCGGUUUAGCAAGUCUGAUGUGAAAGCCCGGGGCUCAACCCCGGUACUGCAUUGGAAACUGUUAAACUAGAGUGUCGGAGGGGUAAGUGGAAUUCCUAGUGUAGCGGUGAAAUGCGUAGAUAUUAGGAGGAACACCAGUGGCGAAGGCGGCUUACUGGACGAUUACUGACGCUGAGGCUCGAAAGCGUGGGGAGCAAACAGGAUUAGAUACCCUGGUAGUCC
This 789-nucleotide ribosomal RNA is filed under the name uncultured bacterium. Its description in RNAcentral is "bacterial SSU rRNA". It matches the Rfam family "Bacterial small subunit ribosomal RNA", at positions 8 to 796 of the family's 1533-position model. The record is from RNAcentral.